Molecule: long non-coding RNA, 1224 nt
Organism: Poecilia latipinna (sailfin molly)
Lineage: Eukaryota; Metazoa; Chordata; Actinopteri; Cyprinodontiformes; Poeciliidae
Exons: 2
Source: RefSeq, a predicted model, not a curated record
AUGUUUCGCUGUUAAAAGUUUUAUUUUCGUUUCGUUUUUCAUUUGUUCUCCGUCCGGCUCCUUCAUGUGGAUCUGAUCUCUUCCCGCAGGCCGGCGCUCCGUCUGGUUUCACCUCAGGAACAUCUGGAUGUUCUCUGUUUGUGCCGGAGCGUCGCUGCUGCUCCUCACUGGGAUGAAGCUGAUGGUGCGAACAGAUCUGCUGCUGCAGUAACUCAUCUCCGAGUCGCUGUGAUGGAUUCAGGCCGACGCAGGAGUCCAGAGCUUCAGUCAGCUGAUUUAUGAACGCUGCAGCCGGGAGGGAAAAGUUUGUAGGAAUCAUUUUGUGCUUCAUUGAGUCCCAUCGCUCCUCAGAGCGUCUCACACAGAAACAUCAGUUCAUGCAUCAUCACGAAGCAGAGCGCGGAUCGCAUGGAAAUCCUGUGUGAGGCGCCUUGGUAAGCAGGAGCCACUGCCUGCACAGAAACAAAAUGACGAAGGUCUGGAUCUGCUGCUCAGGAUCAGCCACUGGUAUCCAACGUCUGUUCAGGAUUCUGCAAAAAUACAAACAGUUUUAUCCCGGCAGCAGAGAUUCAAACAUUCAGAGUUCAGAGAGCAGGGUGACAGCCAAACAGUUUUACUUCCUGGAAAAACCCUGAGCAUUUAGAGAGGAAAACCAUCCAAACCAGGAAGUAGUCUGGUCCACAUGAAUCUGUCUGAUAACAUGUAGUUACGCUGCUGACCCAUAGAGGGCAGCAUUUGACUGCAGUGUCUUAUUCAUUCAUCACUAUUUUUCACAUUCUGUCUCUUAUUUAGAGUUUGGCUCAAGCAAAUCAGAAAUGGUGUAAAAAAUUAACAGAAAUUAUUAUUUUAAAACAUUUCUUUCUGGUAAAGUUUUGACUUGUUGACAUUUAUUCCUGUAUUUUGAAUUCCAGGAAAUCUUUUCCCUUUGCAGGUUUUCCAUCCUGUACUUUGUCCUUCUUUCCUUCUCACACUAUCACCUGCUCCUGUAUGGAAGAACUUUUGGUGCAAAAAUAUUGAUUGUAACUGGGAAGUUGAAGUCAGAGAAAAAUCCUCUAGUUUGGUAAUUCUAGAGUUUUUUCAGUCUUUCAUGAAAUUCUUAAGAACAAAAACAGAAAUGUCAUUUCUUAAGUCACACAUUUAAAAACUGUCUUGUAUUUUCAGUUUUGCCCCAGUUGAUCCAAAACAAAUGAUAUCUUUGAAAAAAAAACCUCAUGUUUGUCACAG